This 1986-nucleotide ribosomal RNA is filed under the name Staphylococcus aureus F60357. Its description in RNAcentral is "bacterial LSU rRNA". It matches the Rfam family "Bacterial large subunit ribosomal RNA", at positions 935 to 2925 of the family's 2925-position model. The record is from RNAcentral. Lineage: Bacteria; Bacillati; Bacillota; Bacilli; Caryophanales; Staphylococcaceae.
GUUACCGAAUUCAGACAAACUCCGAAUGCCAAUUAAUUUAACUUGGGAGUCAGAACAUGGGUGAUAAGGUCCGUGUUCGAAAGGGAAACAGCCCAGACCACCAGCUAAGGUCCCAAAAUAUAUGUUAAGUGGAAAAGGAUGUGGCGUUGCCCAGACAACUAGGAUGUUGGCUUAGAAGCAGCCAUCAUUUAAAGAGUGCGUAAUAGCUCACUAGUCGAGUGACACUGCGCCGAAAAUGUACCGGGGCUAAACAUAUUACCGAAGCUGUGGAUUGUCCUUUGGACAAUGGUAGGAGAGCGUUCUAAGGGCGUUGAAGCAUGAUCGUAAGGACAUGUGGAGCGCUUAGAAGUGAGAAUGCCGGUGUGAGUAGCGAAAGACGGGUGAGAAUCCCGUCCACCGAUUGACUAAGGUUUCCAGAGGAAGGCUCGUCCGCUCUGGGUUAGUCGGGUCCUAAGCUGAGGCCGACAGGCGUAGGCGAUGGAUAACAGGUUGAUAUUCCUGUACCACCUAUAAUCGUUUUAAUCGAUGGGGGGACGCAGUAGGAUAGGCGAAGCGUGCGAUUGGAUUGCACGUCUAAGCAGUAAGGCUGAGUAUUAGGCAAAUCCGGUACUCGUUAAGGCUGAGCUGUGAUGGGGAGAAGACAUUGAGUCUUCGAGUCGUUGAUUUCACACUGCCGAGAAAAGCCUCUAGAUAGAAAAUAGGUGCCCGUACCGCAAACCGACACAGGUAGUCAAGAUGAGAAUUCUAAGGUGAGCGAGCGAACUCUCGUUAAGGAACUCGGCAAAAUGACCCCGUAACUUCGGGAGAAGGGGUGCUCUUUAGGGUUAACGCCCAGAAGAGCCGCAGUGAAUAGGCCCAAGCGACUGUUUAUCAAAAACACAGGUCUCUGCUAAACCGUAAGGUGAUGUAUAGGGGCUGACGCCUGCCCGGUGCUGGAAGGUUAAGAGGAGUGGUUAGCUUCUGCGAAGCUACGAAUCGAAGCCCCAGUAAACGGCGGCCGUAACUAUAACGGUCCUAAGGUAGCGAAAUUCCUUGUCGGGUAAGUUCCGACCCGCACGAAAGGCGUAACGAUUUGGGCACUGUCUCAACGAGAGACUCGGUGAAAUCAUAGUACCUGUGAAGAUGCAGGUUACCCGCGACAGGACGGAAAGACCCCGUGGAGCUUUACUGUAGCCUGAUAUUGAAAUUCGGCACAGCUUGUACAGGAUAGGUAGGAGCCUUUGAAACGUGAGCGCUAGCUUACGUGGAGGCGCUGGUGGGAUACUACCCUAGCUGUGUUGGCUUUCUAACCCGCACCACUUAUCGUGGUGGGAGACAGUGUCAGGCGGGCAGUUUGACUGGGGCGGUCGCCUCCUAAAAGGUAACGGAGGCGCUCAAAGGUUCCCUCAGAAUGGUUGGAAAUCAUUCAUAGAGUGUAAAGGCAUAAGGGAGCUUGACUGCGAGACCUACAAGUCGAGCAGGGUCGAAAGACGGACUUAGUGAUCCGGUGGUUCCGCAUGGAAGGGCCAUCGCUCAACGGAUAAAAGCUACCCCGGGGAUAACAGGCUUAUCUCCCCCAAGAGUUCACAUCGACGGGGAGGUUUGGCACCUCGAUGUCGGCUCAUCGCAUCCUGGGGCUGUAGUCGGUCCCAAGGGUUGGGCUGUUCGCCCAUUAAAGCGGUACGCGAGCUGGGUUCAGAACGUCGUGAGACAGUUCGGUCCCUAUCCGUCGUGGGCGUAGGAAAUUUGAGAGGAGCUGUCCUUAGUACGAGAGGACCGGGAUGGACAUACCUCUGGUGUACCAGUUGUCGUGCCAACGGCAUAGCUGGGUAGCUAUGUGUGGACGGGAUAAGUGCUGAAAGCAUCUAAGCAUGAAGCCCCCCUCAAGAUGAGAUUUCCCAACUUCGGUUAUAAGAUCCCUCAAAGAUGAUGAGGUUAAUAGGUUCGAGGUGGAAGCAUGGUGACAUGUGGAGCUGACGAAUACUAAUCGAUCGAAGACUUAAUCAA